Pomacea canaliculata is the source of this 990-nucleotide long non-coding RNA. RefSeq lists it as uncharacterized. Lineage: Eukaryota; Metazoa; Mollusca; Gastropoda; Architaenioglossa; Ampullariidae. The record is from RefSeq and is a predicted model, not a curated record. The transcript has 4 exons.
CACACCAUUGUGCAUUGGUGAAAAAGCUGGCAAUAAACUACACAGAUUUCUACAUCAUCAAGUUACUAAAUUACUAUAGGAGAAUGAGAUUUUUUAACACAAGCAUAUGCUGCUUUAACUAGAGAAGUGCUGCAGUAUUCAUAUAGAAAGUGUUGAUUUGACUGCAGCUAUUUCCAUAAUUUCAUUUUCAUCUUCCUAUUCUUGGUAUUAUCUUUGCCUUAUCACAAUGAGUGGCUUAAAAUAUGCCUUUGUGAUUUAUUAAAAUGAUUGAUAAACCAUCUUAUCUGCCAGUUUCAGCCCAGCAGAAAAUUAAAAAAGCUGAUUGUUUACAGCAUGUGGCUUCAAGAUAUAGCCACAUAAAGAAGAAAGAAAAAAAAUUGGAACUGAUGUAGAAGAAUGCUACAAACUAACCUUUCAUGAGAAGCGGCAUGAAUGGAAUGAUGGGAGGAGCCAUUUUGGCGACAGUCAAGCGGUACACUCGAUGAUUGCGUGAAGGGUCCAUAAUGGUCUCAAAUUCCUCAAACAGCUUCUUUAACUUUCCAGGAAGUUUCUUAUACACAGGUCUGAGACAGCCUACUGACAGCAAUGUUGCUUAGUCCCAUCACAAUGGCGAAAAAUGAAUGAAGAUUCUGGAAGUCUUUACAACUGUGUAGUGGAGAAUAUAUGACAGGUGCUACAUCACCCAUUCUGCUCACAUAACCUACUGGGGUUCAGGGAUGGAAGAGGGACAAAGCAAAGUUAGCACUACAGCUGCUCUAGCAGGUGUGUAAUAAUUCAAAUUGAUCAACAUAUGAGGCACCAUGUGAGAGAUUUAUAACAUCUGAAUGCAUGAAUAGUAUGAAUGGACCAGUGUUUAAUGAAUUUGCACUACUAAUACUAAAAUGGAAUUUGGAAAAAAUGAGGAACAAGUAAGAUCAAGGUAUCAGAAUAAAUUGUUCUGCUAAAACAAAAAAUUUAGAAUAAUAAUUACACAGAAAAGAUCCCUGAUGC